GAGGUGCUAAUCCAUCUGGUUGGAUGUAUGAGGAGCAGUUUGUGAAAUUCCUUCAACACUUUGUGAGGUAUGUGAAAUAUUCAAACCUUUGCCUUCUCUU
Molecule: long non-coding RNA, 100 nt
Organism: Octopus sinensis (East Asian common octopus)
Lineage: Eukaryota; Metazoa; Mollusca; Cephalopoda; Octopoda; Octopodidae
Exons: 3
Source: RefSeq, a predicted model, not a curated record